GGCCAGGCCUUGCGCGACGAAGACCCGCAAACCCCGCCAGGGCCGGAAGGCAGCAACGGUAGCGGGAUCCUUCGGGUGCCGCAAGUCUCCUGGCCGGA
This 98-nucleotide signal recognition particle RNA is filed under the name Magnetococcales bacterium. RNAcentral's name for it is "signal recognition particle sRNA small type". It matches the Rfam family "Bacterial small signal recognition particle RNA". From Rfam's summary of the family: The signal recognition particle (SRP) is a universally conserved ribonucleoprotein involved in the co-translational targeting of proteins to membranes. Archaeal SRP consists of a 7S RNA and homologues of the eukaryotic SRP19 and SRP54 proteins. In most bacteria, the SRP consists of a 4.5S RNA and the Ffh protein (a homologue of the eukaryotic SRP54 protein). Lineage: Bacteria; Pseudomonadati; Pseudomonadota; Magnetococcia; Magnetococcales. The record is from RNAcentral.